This is a long non-coding RNA of Hippopotamus amphibius kiboko, 723 nucleotides long. RefSeq lists it as uncharacterized. Lineage: Eukaryota; Metazoa; Chordata; Mammalia; Artiodactyla; Hippopotamidae. The transcript is spliced from 3 exons. The record is from RefSeq and is a predicted model, not a curated record.
GCAUGCAUCCCUGGGUCUAUUUUUGGACUCUGUUCUGUCUAAUCUUGUGCCAGCCUCACAGUGUUUUGUUCAUUGUAGCUUUAUUGCUGGUGAGGAGGGAUGGGAAGAGUGCUACAACGUGUACUGUGAUGUACAAAAGCCGAGUGGGAGGAGAAGUCAUGGCAAGGGAUUCAAAGAAGCCAGAAGCUAAAGAGGGAAUGUGUGCAGCAGGAAGAGGGAAUGGCACUAUGUGAGGGCGGGCUUGGAUCACGUAGGGCCUGGAGGCCGUGUAAACUGCAUCUUUAUCCUUAGAGCCAAGGGGCCACAGAAGAGUUCUGACCAGAGGAAUAACAUGACCAGGUCUGUGUUUUAUUCAACUUUCUCUGGACUUCUGUUUCCACCCACGAUGGAGUAACUGGCACCGGACCAGCCUUCACACCACAAACCUGUAUAAAACUUGACGAGACAUAAAGGAUAGCUAUUCUUGGGCCGUGAAUGACAGGCAGCAGAAGACUGCUGAUCCCUGACUGAAGGGAAAACUCAUGAGGUGAAGGAACUAGAGGCUUGGAGGGCAGAUGACAUCUGAAAGCGGCUAAUGAACAGCUGAGAUGAGCGCAAACCGGUCUUCUGACUCCUAAAUCCUGGGCGUCUCUGCUUAGAAGACGAUCACUGAGCUGCCACAGGAGACGUGUCCACAAACAGGUUUAUUUUUUAAAUCAUAAAACGGGGACACGGGUUCGAGCC